GAACCUGAGCGCGCGAUUUGUGUGUGUGUUUUUCUUGUUGCGGCGGCGCCAUCUUGUGGCUCGCGGGAAUGGGACGACCAAAAGAAGAAAAAUAAUGUCCUUACCUCACUUCCGGAUUCCAAGAUGGCCGCCAAAACGUCACAUCCUUUGAUGACAUCGCUUCCGGCUCCAUCCAAUGACGAUACUUCCGGUCUCCAGAGAUGACAUCACUUCCUCCAUCACAUCACUUCCGGUUACUUUUGAUGAUGUUGUAUCCGUCUGCCCGUUUCAACGUUGUCUCCUGCCAACUCAUUUCCGUCCACAAUUUUCUCACUGUACAAAACGCCAUUUGUUGUAAAACACUUUGAUCUGCCGUAAUAAGUAUUUGAUCCAUCA
Molecule: long non-coding RNA, 375 nt
Organism: Erpetoichthys calabaricus (reedfish)
Lineage: Eukaryota; Metazoa; Chordata; Cladistia; Polypteriformes; Polypteridae
Exons: 2
Source: RefSeq, a predicted model, not a curated record